RNAcentral lists this ribosomal RNA (474 nucleotides) under uncultured Desulfobulbus sp. RNAcentral describes it as "bacterial SSU rRNA". It matches the Rfam family "Bacterial small subunit ribosomal RNA", at positions 916 to 1381 of the family's 1533-position model. Lineage: Bacteria; Pseudomonadati; Thermodesulfobacteriota; Desulfobulbia; Desulfobulbales; Desulfobulbaceae. The record is from RNAcentral.
ACGGGGCCCGCACAAGCGGUGGAGUAUGUGGUUUAAUUUCGAUGCAACGCGAAGAACCUUACCUGGUCUUGACAUCCCGGAGACCCUUAGGAAACUAGGGGUGCUUCCAUCUGGAAGAAUCUGGAGACAGGUGCUGCAUGGCUGUCGUCAGCUCGUGUCGUGAGAUGUUGGGUUAAGUCCCGCAACGAGCGCAACCCUUGCCUUUAGUUGCCAGCAGUUCGGCUGGGCACUCUAAAGGGACUGCCGGUGUUAAACCGGAGGAAGGUGGGGAUGACGUCAAGUCCUCAUGGCCUUUAUGACCAGGGCUACACACGUACUACAAUGGCCGAUACAAAGGGCAGCGACACUGCGGGGUGAAGCCAAUCCCGUAAAAUCGGUCUCAGUCCGGAUUGGAGUCUGCAACUCGACUCCAUGAAGUUGGAAUCGCUAGUAAUCGUGGAUCAGCAUGCCACGGUGAAUACGUUCCCGGGCCUU